AUGGAACUUUCAUCCGAGGCUUGGUCAGCACUCAAAAUAUAUCACCAGUACAUGUUUGAACCCACAAGCAGCAGACAUACCGCAUAUAUUUUAAGUUCAGCAGUCAGUCAUAACGUGCUUUCGGGCAUCAACUUCGACAACAAGUCCGGACAUAUGAAGAGCACGAGAAGUCUUUGUGAUUAUGGGAAUCAUGAUUGGCUUGCACUGAAUGAUGAUCGUCUAAUGCCAGGGAAUGCACGACUAAUAGUGGCAGCCUUUCUUCGGACAAGCUGCUAG
Molecule: long non-coding RNA, 276 nt
Filed under: Vicia faba (fava bean)
Lineage: Eukaryota; Viridiplantae; Streptophyta; Magnoliopsida; Fabales; Fabaceae
Source: RNAcentral